Molecule: long non-coding RNA, 871 nt
Filed under: Calidris pugnax (ruff)
Lineage: Eukaryota; Metazoa; Chordata; Aves; Charadriiformes; Scolopacidae
Description: lncRNA (ENSCPUG00000002036.1)
Source: RNAcentral
CUCCCCCAGUCCCUCCUGAAGCUGGAUGGAAAUGCAGCUCCUGCCUCCCUCAGUCCUGAUGCCAGAGACCGGGAAAAAUCAGAACAGGUAAAUCAGAGGCAUUUAUUCCUCAGUGCCAGCCUCAUAUGCCAUGAAACCUUCCAGCACGUCAGGUAUUGUGGUUUACCUGCAAAUCUGAGGGCUACUGAACAGCUGUAAAUCUGAUCCCAAAUGCAUAUUGUUCCUUAAGAAUAACAGUUUAUGCGUCCUGGUAGAAUACGGCAGUGCUCUGUGUGAGAUACAAAUGAAUGGUUUAUUAUUGGCUUCUCAGAAAUCAGGACUGGAGGUUGUUGCUCACAAUGCACUCUGAUUAGAACAGGAGGUCAGACCAGUUGUGUUUCCUUCUGUCUCCACAGUCUGUGAAUGAUUUGGUCCAUAUAAAAAUUACGCUAUUUUCCACUAAUUUGCCUGCUUUACUUCGCUAAUAGGGAAGUCUGCUGCUGCUGUUACUCAAAACUCUCAUCUGGUUUUCCUGGGGAAGUUUGGAUGCAGGGGUUGGUUUGGCGAGGAGAAUCGCUUCACCCUUCACUGGAGCACAGCCACCUGGGGAGCUGCAGGGAGAAACUUCUUUGGAAACCCACGGGGCUUUCUAAAAUGGAUCAAGAUAUAGAGGAAAGACAAGGAUGUCACAGUGCCUUAAGGAUAUGAGUAUAAUGAAGCAUAGAAGCAACAUGGAAUUGUUGUUCCGACCCACCCCAAAGUUGUCCUGUGAAGACAAAUUAAACAGAAAGAAACGAGACAGUGGACAGUCUGCCUGCACCCUGUCAUUGUAGCUUUGCCCAUGCUUUCCCAUUUGAUGACAGUUCGUGCUUUGCAGAAUAGUUGGUGCUGU